Molecule: ribosomal RNA, 908 nt
Filed under: uncultured bacterium
Lineage: Bacteria
Description: bacterial SSU rRNA
Rfam family: Bacterial small subunit ribosomal RNA
Source: RNAcentral
ACGCUGGCGGCAGGCUUAACACAUGCAAGUCGAACGGUAACAGGGAUUAGCUUGCUAAUCUGCUGACGAGUGGCGGACGGGUGAGUAAUGCUUGGGAAUCUGGCUUAUGGAGGGGGAUAACUACGGGAAACUGUAGCUAAUACCGCGUAAAAUCUUCGGAUUAAAGGGUGGGACUUUCGAGCCACCUGCCAUAAGAUGAGCCCAAGUGGGAUUAGGUAGUUGGUUAGGUAAAGGCUGACCAAGCCGACGAUCUCUAGCUGGUCUGAGAGGAUGACCAGCCACACUGGAACUGAGACACGGUCCAGACUCCUACGGGAGGCAGCAGUGGGGAAUAUUGCACAAUGGGGGGAACCCUGAUGCAGCCAUGCCGCGUGAAUGAAGAAGGCCUUCGGGUUGUAAAGUUCUUUCGGUGACGAGGAAGGUUGAUAGGUUAAUAGCCUAUCAAAUUGACGUUAAUCACAGAAGAAGCACCGGCUAACACCGUGCCAGCAGCCGCGGUAAUACGGGGGGUGCGAGCGUUAAUCGGAAUAACUGGGCGUAAAGGGCACGCAGGCGGUGACUUAAGUGAGAUGUGAAAGCCCCGAGCUUAACUUGGGAAUUGCAUUUCAUACUGGGUCGCUAGAGUACUUUAGGGAGGGGUAGAAUUCCACGUGUAGCGGUGAAAUGCGUAGAGAUGUGGAGGAAUACCGAAGGCGAAGGCAGCCCCUUGGGAAUGUACUGACGCUCAUGUGCGAAAGCGUGGGGAGCAAACAGGAUUAGAUACCCUGGUAGUCCACGCUGUAAACGAUGUCGAUUUGGGGAUUGGGCUUUGAGCUUGGUGCCCGUAGCUAACGUGAUAAAUCGACCGCCUGGGGAGUACGGCCGCAAGGUUAAAACUCAAAUGAAUUGACGGGGGCCCGCACAAGCGG